This 483-nucleotide ribosomal RNA is filed under the name uncultured bacterium. RNAcentral describes it as "bacterial SSU rRNA". It matches the Rfam family "Bacterial small subunit ribosomal RNA", at positions 28 to 511 of the family's 1533-position model. The record is from RNAcentral.
GAUGAACGCUGGCGGCGUGCUUAACACAUGCAAGUCGAACGAAGAAGAGUUGAAUGAGAGCUUCGGCAGGAUUUCUUCUCAUCUUAGUGGCGGACGGGUGAGUAACGUGUGGGCAACCUGCCCUAUACUGGGGAAUAAUCACUGGAAACGGUGACUAAUACCGCAUGUCAUCAUCGGAGGGCAUCCUCUGGUGAAAAAAGGAGUAAUUCGGUAUAGGAUGGGCCCGCAUCUGAUUAGCUAGUUGGUGAGAUAACAGCCCACCAAGGCGACGAUCAGUAGCCGACCUGAGAGGGUGAUCGGCCACAUUGGGACUGAGACACGGCCCAGACUCCUACGGGAGGCAGCAGUGGGGGAUAUUGCGCAAUGGGGGAAACCCUGACGCAGCAAUGCCGCGUGAAGGAAGAAGGUCUUCGGAUCGUAAACUUUUGUCUUCAGGACGAUAAUGACGGUACCUUUCGAGAGCCACGGCUAACUACGUGCCAG